AAGUCUAUACUUUCAGGGAUCAUUUCUAUAGUUCGUUACUAAAGAAGUUUCUCUGACUGUGCAGAGUACCCGAAACCACAAGGAGGAGACGUAGCAUUCUCUCCUGAGCGUGAAGCUGGCUCCUGAUGUUGCUUCGCUCCAACUGCCUUUUGCCAUUGACGAUUCGUCUUCUCUUUUUUGGGAGAGUAGAGGGAGAGGAUGCAAACUUGAAUGGU
Small nucleolar RNA from Nannospalax galili (Upper Galilee mountains blind mole rat), 215 nucleotides. Its record names the gene U3. It matches the Rfam family "Small nucleolar RNA U3". Rfam says of the family: Small nucleolar RNAs (snoRNAs) are involved in the processing and modification of rRNA in the nucleolus. There are two main classes of snoRNAs: the box C/D class, and the box H/ACA class. U3 snoRNA is a member of the box C/D class. The record is from Ensembl. Lineage: Eukaryota; Metazoa; Chordata; Mammalia; Rodentia; Spalacidae.